This is a non-coding RNA of Proteobacteria bacterium CAG:495, 419 nucleotides long. It matches the Rfam family "Bacterial RNase P class A". Rfam says of the family: Ribonuclease P (RNase P) is a ubiquitous endoribonuclease, found in archaea, bacteria and eukarya as well as chloroplasts and mitochondria. Lineage: Bacteria; Pseudomonadati; Pseudomonadota. The record is from Rfam.
UAAGGCAGUCGGAUAGCUGCGCCGGAACAGGUUUUCGGUGAGGAAAGUCCGGGCUUCAAGAGAACAAGGCACCAGAUAACGUCUGGCUGGAGCAAUCCAAGGGAAAGUGCCGCAGAGAUAUACCGCCGGGCUAAAUGUCCGGUAAGGGUGAAAAGGCGAGGUAAGAGCUCACCGCAGGACCGGUAACGGUUCUGGCAAGGUAAACCCUGUCUGAUGCAAGACCAAGUUAGGGGUGUUCAAGUGCCGGGCUUCGGCUUUGCAAACUGAACAACAACGGAGCGUUCUCUCUCCACUCCAGAGGUAGGUCGCAACGAGCCGCGCAGCGAUGUUCGGCCCAGAUGAAUAGCUAUCGUUCCGGACUUUGCGUUAUGCGUAAAGCUGCCGGAAUACAGAACCCGGCUUAUAGAUUGCCUUAUAAU